AUAUAAGUUAAUUAAUUUUGUGCAAAUUUUAAUAUAAAUAUUUAACGUUAUAUAAAGUCAAACUUAUAUUAGAUACAUUAGUGGCAUUUACUUACAUCAAAUUAUAUGAAAAAGAUAUCUCUCUCUCAUCUACCAACCGAUGCAGUGCAUUAGUUGUUAAAUUUAAGUAUCAAAUUGAAUUCAUUCUCUAAAUUGAUCAAACUGACUAUUAAAAAAGAUCGGCGAAGAAGUAUAUACAUAUAUACAUAUUUCUUGUGUUGUAAUUCCAGUUCUUGGUCGAGUGGGAGAGCAAAACUUCUCAUGCUUACAGUUUCUAUCGUUCACGUAAUUACGUAGAUAGGACCAGGUGGCAGUUGUGACUAUACUUAGGAGCUUUGUUCUCAUCCAACCAAAUAUUUCGGGCAAUGGCGUAUGCAUCUUCAAUUAUUUCCUGUUGCAUUUGCUUGUGAAUUUGCGAAACCUAUGCUUUGCUUUAGUUUGGUGGAUCUGUGGAUUUGUGGGUCUCUUUCAAUCCCAUCCUCCUAUUCUUUUCCUGAUAUUGAACUUUCCCUGGAUUUCUGUAACAAGAAGCACCCAAGAUCUUAACAAGAUUUACUGAAACGUAUAUAUAAUUUCAUAGUUUCUUCUCAUGAUCCAUUUCAAACAUGACUAGAUGUUUCAGCUUCACAGCUUCCCGUGAUUGGUUCUAUCGUUACUCAUUUGGCAACGCCGGUCUCCGAUCAAUCUCCUCCGAUUUCGGAGAUGGCACCAUCAUGCAUUGUUGGGUGCCAAGAACCAGGAAAUUAUCUAAACCAAACCUUGUUCUUGUCCACGGCUUUGGUGCCAAUGCAA
RNAcentral lists this unclassified non-coding RNA (831 nucleotides) under Hevea brasiliensis (rubber tree). Lineage: Eukaryota; Viridiplantae; Streptophyta; Magnoliopsida; Malpighiales; Euphorbiaceae. The record is from RNAcentral.